RNAcentral lists this ribosomal RNA (460 nucleotides) under uncultured bacterium. RNAcentral describes it as "partial 16S ribosomal RNA". It matches the Rfam family "Bacterial small subunit ribosomal RNA", at positions 338 to 795 of the family's 1533-position model. The record is from RNAcentral.
CCUACGGGAGGCAGCAGUGAGGAAUAUUGGUCAAUGGACGAGAGUCUGAACCAGCCAAGUAGCGUGAAGGAUGACUGCCCUAUGGGUUGUAACCUUCUUUUAUAAAGGAAUAAAACGAGGCACGUGUGCCUUUUUGCAUGUACUUUAUGAAUAAGGAUCGGCUAACUCCGUGCCAGCAGCCGCGGUAAUACGGAGGAUCCGAGCGUUAUCCGGAUUUAUUGGGUUUAAAGGGAGCGUAGAUGGGUUGUUAAGUCAGUUGUGAAAGUUUGCGGCUUAACCGUAAAAUUGCAAUUGAUACUGGCAGUCUUGAGUACAGUUGAGGUAGGCGGAAUUCGUGGUGUAGCGGUGAAAUGCUUAGAUAUCACGAAGAACCCUGAUUGCGAAGGCAGCUUACUAAACUGUGACUGACAUUGAUGCUCGAAAGUGUGGGUAUCAAACAGGAUUAGAUACCCGUGUAGUC